AGGGAUGUAGCUCAGUGAUAGAGUACUUGUGUAGCAUGCAAGAGGUCCUGGGUUAGAUCCCCAGGACUUUA
This 71-nucleotide transfer RNA is filed under the name Fukomys damarensis (Damara mole-rat). It matches the Rfam family "tRNA". Rfam says of the family: Transfer RNA (tRNA) molecules are approximately 80 nucleotides in length. The record is from Rfam by way of RNAcentral. Lineage: Eukaryota; Metazoa; Chordata; Mammalia; Rodentia; Bathyergidae.